UGGCGCAGAAGAAAUGACACUG
Molecule: microRNA, 22 nt
Filed under: Picea abies (Norway spruce)
Lineage: Eukaryota; Viridiplantae; Streptophyta; Pinopsida; Pinales; Pinaceae
Description: pab-miR3627j
Source: miRBase by way of RNAcentral